Molecule: long non-coding RNA, 1371 nt
Organism: Daphnia magna
Lineage: Eukaryota; Metazoa; Arthropoda; Branchiopoda; Diplostraca; Daphniidae
Exons: 3
Source: RefSeq, a predicted model, not a curated record
GAUGACAAUAUAAAAUUUCUUAAAAUCACAUAUUUUGCCUAUGAAAAUAAUUCGUUCCAGCCCCAAAUUUUGCAGUCUGACUACUUUGUAUUUCCGGAGUUGUUUAGUUCAGAGUGGUUCACACCCGGAAAAUUUGCAUGCAAAGCACUCUCACUUAAAAAUCAAAUCAAUCAUCCAGUGAUUCAACGCUACCGUCGUCUGCAUGUCCGCCAUUUUAGCUGUGUGAACAAGGCAACAUUUUUGGUCUGUUGUUUUUCAAAGUUUUCCCAUUGUUUUGUGCAUCUAGACGAGCAUAUCUACAGGGCCAACAAAUAAACAAAGUCCUAAUUUUCGUCUUAUCUCCGUUUUCGUCUUCGCCUCUUCGCCAUCGUUUCAUCGCCGCCUUCGCUUUCACCAUCGUCUCAUCGCCGUCUUUGCUUUUCUCAUCGCCUCGUCGCUGUCGUUGCCUGCGCCAUCGUCUCGUGGCUGUCUUUGCCUGCGCCAUCGCCUCGUCGCUGUCUUUGCCUGCGCCAUCGCCUCGUCGUGGUCUUUGCCUGCGCCAUCGCCAUCGCCUCGUCGCUGUCUUUGCCUGCGCCAUCGCCAUCGCCUCGUCGCUGUCUUUGCCUGCGCCAUCGCCAUCGCCUCGUCGCUGUCUUUGCCUGCCUCGUCGUCGUCUUCGCGUUUACCUCAUCGCCGUCUUCGCCUUCACUUUCGCCUUCGCCAUCGUUUCAUUGCUGCCUUCGCUUUUGCCGUCAUCUCAUCGCUGUCUUCAACUUCGCCAUCGGCUCAUCUCCGUCUUCGUCGCUGCCUAUAUCUUCGCCUGUGGCCUACAACGAUGGAACAAUCGGAUCGAGGAAAAAACUCGAGAGAGGUGCUUAACUGGUAUAGUUUUGUGCUGUAUUUUUUUAAUGUUGUGUUAUAUAGUUAACCCGUUGGCUGCCACCCCGUUUGCGCCCCAUUUUUUUUUUAGCUUAUAGGGACCGGCCGCGCUGUUCUAGCCUCAUGGUCUAUAGCCAUGGGGUGGAGCAGUCGCAAUGGCCUCGCCGAAAGGCGCUUUAGGCAAUGCACCAUUAGGGACUUCUCCUUGUCGAUGUGGUGGCGGAUUCCUGAGGGUGUGCAUUCCCUGUAACGGAUUCCGUCACCGUGUCAGCCCGGACUUGUCUUCGGACAAGUCCCCCUUGGUCGGCGAUCCUUCAGACACGAUGCGUAGCUAACGUAGUUUAAGCAACCUACGGGUUGCGUGGCCUGGCAGCCAACAGGUUAACUAAUUAGUUGUAUGUGUGUGUGUAUGUAUGUAUGUAUGUAUACUUGUAUUUAUGUAUUGUAUGUAUUGUAUGUAAAACAGUGGAGGAAUUGAUGGGUGGAGGAGGGACAAUAAAAAAAUUCCAUUUA